GAAUAUUGGACAAUGGGCGAAAGCCUGAUCCAGCAAUGCCGCGUGCAGGAUGAAGGCUUUCGGGUUGUAAACUGCUUUUGUACGGAACGAAAAGCUUUGGGCUAAUACCCUGGAGUAAUGACAGUACCGUACGCAUACACACCGGCUAACUACGUGACAGCAGCCGCGGUAAUCCGUAGGGUGCAAGCGUGAAUCGGAAGUACUGGGCGUAAAGCGGGCGCAGGCGGUUUUGUAAGACAGAGGUGAAAUCCCCGGGCUCAACCUGGGAACUGCCUUUGUGACUGCAAGGCUAGAGUACGGCAGAGGGGGGUGGAAUUCCGCGUGUAGCAGUGAAAUGCGUAGAUAUGCGGAGGAACACCGAUGGCGAAGGCAACCCCCUGGGCCUGUACUGACGCUCAUGCACGAAAGCGUGGGGAGCAAACA
RNAcentral lists this ribosomal RNA (423 nucleotides) under uncultured bacterium. RNAcentral's name for it is "partial 16S ribosomal RNA". It matches the Rfam family "Bacterial small subunit ribosomal RNA", at positions 359 to 774 of the family's 1533-position model. The record is from RNAcentral.